GACGAACGCUGGCGGCGUGCCUAAUACAUGCAAGUCGAACGCAGGGGGGACGGGUGAGUAACACGUGGGUAACCUCCCCAUCACAGGGGAUAACAUUUGGAAACAGGCGCUACACCGAUACUGAUGGAUGGACCCGCGGUGCAUGAGCUAGUUGGGGGGGUAACGGCGCACCAAGGCCACGAUGCAUAGCCGACCUGAGAGGGUGAUCGGCCACACUGGGACUGAGACACGGCCCAGACUCCUACGGGAGGCAGCAGUAGGGAAUAUUCAGCAAUGGACGAAAGGCGGACCGAGCAACGCCGCGUGAGUGAAGAAGGUUUUCGGAUCGUAAAACACUGUUGUUAGAGAGGCGGUAUCUAACCAGAAAGCAACGGCUAACUACGUGCCAGCCGCCGCGGUAAUAC
This 404-nucleotide ribosomal RNA is filed under the name uncultured bacterium. RNAcentral's name for it is "partial 16S ribosomal RNA". It matches the Rfam family "Bacterial small subunit ribosomal RNA", at positions 28 to 526 of the family's 1533-position model. The record is from RNAcentral.